Molecule: long non-coding RNA, 455 nt
Organism: Megalobrama amblycephala (Wuchang bream)
Lineage: Eukaryota; Metazoa; Chordata; Actinopteri; Cypriniformes; Xenocyprididae
Exons: 4
Source: RefSeq, a predicted model, not a curated record
CCAGCAUCAGUGUGUCUGAUCUCAGCAUCAGUCUCUCUCUACCUCUGGAGGUGGAAUAUCAGGAUAAAAACACCUACAGCUGUGUGCUGAACAAUCCCAUCAGCAACCAGAUCAAACAUCUCAACAUCACUCAAGUCUGCCAGAUUCACUCAGUGCUGAUCUCUGUUGCUGGUGAUUGCAGCUGUGGUUGGGAUCUGCUGCAUCUGCAGGAAAUGUAAAAAAUCAGUUCAGACACAGGAAGACAGAACUCAUUCAGCGCUGUGUAAACCAACAACACAACAAAAGAGUCUGUGAAUCUGAUGUCUCUGAUGGUCAAAGAUCCAGUCUGAUGAUCCAGCUUCAGUCUGUCCUUGAAUCUCUCAGUACCUUCAUUACACUGAAGUUCUGUACAGAUACAGCUGAGAUCUCCAUUGAUUUGAGCGAUGCGAAUGUCAUUAAAAUACCAUUUAAUCUUC